RNAcentral lists this ribosomal RNA (253 nucleotides) under uncultured bacterium. RNAcentral describes it as "partial 16S ribosomal RNA". It matches the Rfam family "Bacterial small subunit ribosomal RNA", at positions 524 to 776 of the family's 1533-position model. The record is from RNAcentral.
UACGUAGGUGGCAAGCGUUGUCCGGAAUUACUGGGUGUAAAGCGCGUGUAGGCGGCAGGCCAAGUCUGCGGUGAAAGCGCCCGGCUCAACUGGGCGAGGUCCGUGGAAACUGGUCAGCUGGAGGACGGUAGAGGCGAGUGGAAUUCCCGGUGUAGUGGUGAAAUGCGUAGAGAUCGGGAGGAACACCUGUGGCGAAGGCGGCUCGCUGGGCCGGUCCUGACACUGAGGCGCGACAGCGUGGGGAGCAAACAGG